Molecule: ribosomal RNA, 405 nt
Filed under: uncultured bacterium
Lineage: Bacteria
Description: partial 16S ribosomal RNA
Rfam family: Bacterial small subunit ribosomal RNA
Source: RNAcentral
GACGAACGCUGGCGGCGUGCUUAACACAUGCAAGUCGAACGAGUGGCGAACGGGUGAGUAAUACGUGGGUAACCUUCCCUCCCUUCGGGAUAAGCCUUGGAAACGGGGUCUAAUACAGAAUACAGGGGGAUGGGCUCGGGGCCUAUCGGCGUGUUGGUGGGGUGCUGGUGUACCAAGGCGGUGACGGCUAGCCGGCCUGAGAGGGUGACCGGCGACAUUGGGACUGAGAUACGGCCCAGAGUCCGACGGGAGGCAGCAGUGUGGGAUAUUGCACAAUGGGCGAAAGGCGGAUGCAGCGACGCCGCGUGGGGGAUGAAGGCUUUGGGGUUGUAAUCCUCUUUCGCUAUCGAAGGGUAGGUGGAGAAGAAGCGCCGGCUAACUACGUGCCAGCAGCCGCGGUAAUUC